UCCUCCGUGGCCUAAUGGAUAAGGCAUCGGUCUCCUAAACCGGGGAUUGUGGGUUCGAGUCCCACCGGAGGUGAA
This 75-nucleotide transfer RNA is filed under the name Strongylocentrotus purpuratus (purple sea urchin). RNAcentral describes it as "tRNA-Arg (CCT) (tRNA-Arg-CCT-8-1)". It matches the Rfam family "tRNA". From Rfam's summary of the family: Transfer RNA (tRNA) molecules are approximately 80 nucleotides in length. Lineage: Eukaryota; Metazoa; Echinodermata; Echinoidea; Camarodonta; Strongylocentrotidae. The record is from RNAcentral.